CACUACAAAAAAUGUUGUUAAAAAUGGCACUAAUUUUAUGGCAGGGUUAAAAAACUGCCAUUAUAUUUGUUAAUUUCGACAGCGCUAACUUAUGCCAUAAUACUCAUGGUUUUUGUGGCGGCUUUUGUUGAUUGUGGUGGUUUGGAACCGCCAUAAAAUUUUUUUCUUUUCCAACUUGGCUGAUGUUGCAUAUGAGAGUGUGAUUAGUAUUGUUGCGAGAAAGUGAGGAUGUCAAUGACGAACCCUAAUUUCAUUCCAUUGUUCAUCUUUCAAUGAUUUGUCAUUCAACUCCUCGCUACUGCAAGCAAUGCCGUUGUCGCUGCCUUUAGUGAGCUUCUACGAUUUGGCUUCGAUCUGAAGAUUUGUCAGCAUUUGUCCAUCACUAUCGUUCAUCUCCUCGCCAUCGCAAGAAACACCGUUGUCACUGCCUUCAACGAGCUUCUAGGAUCUAGUUCUCAAUCUAGCUCAUCUACUCGCCGCCGCAAGCAAUUCCAUUGUUGUUGCCUUCAGCGAGCUUCAACGAUUUGGCUUCGAUAUGAAUAUUUGUCUCCGCUCAUCUCACCACCAUCAUUCAUCUCUGCACCAUCGCAAGCAACACCGUUGUCGAUGCCUUUUAUGAUCUGAUUUUCAAUCUAGCUCAUCUCCUCACCUCAGCAAGCAAUGCCAUUGUUGCUACCUUCAACAAGCUUUUACAAUUUAGUUUCGCCAUCUCUGUCACUUCUAAUAGUACAACACAAUACUUUACUUUCUCUUCAAAAGAAGUCAUGCGGUUGUGGAGGAACUGAUUGGGUUUGGAGCAAGAGUGCACGUGUGUGCAAGGAACGAAGUUGAGCUCACUAAGUCUCAUCUAAUGAAAUAAUUCUAGUUUUGAGGUUAUUGGCUCUAUUUGCGGUGUCUCUGUUCCUCAUCAGAGAGAGAAGCCAAUGGACUCUCUGUGUUCUCAAUUCCAAGGGAAACUCAACAUCCUUUCCUGGUCACAUAUCAUGAUUAAUAAUGUGAACGGCCUGAACUUUUCGUCUAUUUGGUGGGGAUAUAUCGGAGAAAAGGAAUAAAGAAAGGGGCAAAAUUGUCAUUACAUAACAGCCUUACAUGGCUCAUUCCGUUGCUGUGUUGGUUCUCCCAAGUCUUACAUUUACAGACACUUAAGUGAGUUGCGUCUCAGCUAGUUCGAGUCCCUUCCAAGUUCUGAACCGUUUUCGAGUAACAACACUUCCUCCAUUUUCCUUGUAUUGUAAAUCAGAAGAAGUAUCUGGGGUCUUAUUAUUAUACCUUUGAGGAAAAUCAAGAAUGAGUUUAUGACUCACUGGGAUGGACUAAUGACAAAACCAGGGGAGCGUAUCCUUGUUCUUGCUGCAACCAAUAGGCCCUUUGACUUGGAUGAAGCAAUUAUUAGGAGAUUUGAAAGAAGAAGGCAACACUGCUUGUUACAUUACAUGCCAUUGUUAUGGUGUAUAACUCUUGAUCAUUUUGUGGAGAAUAGGGGAAAAAUUUUGAAAACACUUCUGGCAAAAGAGAAGGUAGACCAAGAUCUUGAUUUGAAGGAACUUGCAACUAUGAUGGAAGGAUACAGUGGCAGUGACUUGAAGGUAGUUUCUAUGUUGUAUUAGUUUAUGAUUAUGGUGUAUCUUUAUCAUGUUACUUUGCUUUAGUCUUUUAAGGUUCUGAUGCCUAACACAUUUUUACCUUCACUCGCUAUUUAUUAAAUUAAAUCAAAACUUGUGCAUAACUGCUGCUUAUAGGCUUAUUAGAGAGUUGACUCAACAAGAGAGACUAAAGACCUUGGUUUUUAAAUGGAAAUCUCUUGGAGCAAUCCAGUAGGUUUUGAAAUUCCUUUCCCUUUUCAUUAUUUGAUUAAUCGAUGCUACCUUUGUGCUUUAGCUUUUGGUAAUGAAUUUAUAUUUAUCCAAGUUUCUUUCCUACACUAUCUAAUGUAUUAAGCAAAAUAUAUCUUGUUCAGAACUAUGACAGUAGCUUAUUAACUUGGAUCGAUUGGAAAUGUUUAAGCAAAUGCUUAACAGUAGCUAAUGUAUAUCUUGUUCAGAACUAUGACAUUAUCCAAAAUAUAUACGACAAUUUUAUGGUGUAAAUCCUGUAUGUAUCAUCACUAAGUUGCUUUUUCAUUUUUCUUUCUUAAUUAUCUUUUCCCAUAGCCAUCCAUUGAUAUCAAGACAGUACUAUCUCAAUUAAUGGAAAGGCUUUCACAUUAUGCUGCAUCAAGUGCAGAGGUGUUGCCAGAAUUUUCGCAAGUGGAAGCAUUUGCCAAAUUAAGCAAUGCCAUUGGCAGGCCAUUUGAAUAAGAACCAGCUUUCAGGUGCCCCCAAACUUUUCAGCUCUGACAUGGUGCUCAUACAUGUAUUAUUUGAUGGAAAUGAUUUAUCUGGUUCUAUACCAGAAAUAUUAGGACUAGUUUAGACACCUGAGGUUCUCCGGCUUGAUAGAAAUUUUCUGAUAGGAGAGGUUCCUACAAAUCUUUGUAAGAGAUGAGUUUGGAUAAUGAAGUUGGAGUGUUGGAGCAA
Molecule: non-coding RNA, 2516 nt
Organism: Arachis ipaensis
Lineage: Eukaryota; Viridiplantae; Streptophyta; Magnoliopsida; Fabales; Fabaceae
Source: RefSeq, a predicted model, not a curated record